AGUGGUGAAAUACAAAUGGCAGCCUCUAUAAAUGAAUUAAAUUCGAAGCUAGCAAAGUUAGGAGAAACACUAGGAUUAGAUACCCUAUUAUUCUAACCAUAAAAAUAAAAUUCGGGCUAGUAUUAGUUAAAUACUUAAAAACUAAAAGAUUUGGCGGUAAUUUAACCUUCCCAGAGGAACUUGUUUUUUAAUCGAUAAACCACGUAAAAUCUUACUUGAGUUUGUAUACCAUCAUUAAUAGACAAUCUUAUAAAAAGAAAAUUUGUGAAAAAUAAAUAAUUAAAGAAAUUAGAUCAUGGUGCAGCAUAUGGGCAAGUUAAAAUGAGUUACAAUAAAAUACUCUACACGAACUAAAAAUUACGAAGGAGGAUUUGGUUGUAACGGGAUUUAAUAAGACCCUGCGAUAUAAGCUCUAAAUUAUGUACAUAUCGCCCGUCGCUUUC
This 443-nucleotide ribosomal RNA is filed under the name Pachygrapsus plicatus. RNAcentral's name for it is "partial 12S small subunit ribosomal RNA". Lineage: Eukaryota; Metazoa; Arthropoda; Malacostraca; Decapoda; Grapsidae. The record is from RNAcentral.